GACGAACGCUGGCGGCGUGCUUAACACAUGCAAGUCGAACGGAAAGGCCCUGCUUGCAUGGUACUCGAGUGGCGAACGGGUGAGUAACACGUGGGUGAUCUGCCCUGCACUUCGGGAUAAGCCUGGGAAACUGGGUCUAAUACCGGAUAGGAGCCAUUUUUAGUGUGAUGGUUGGAAAGUUUUUUCGGUGUAGGAUGAGCUCGCGGCCUAUCAGCUUGUUGGUGGGGUAAUGGCCUACCAAGGCGGCGACGGGUAGCCGGCCCGAGAGGGUGGACGGCCACAGUGGGACUGAGAGACGGCCCAGACUCGUACGGGAGGCAGCAGGGGGGAAUAUUGCACAAUGGGCGCAAGCCUGAUGCAGCGAGGCCGCGUGGUGGAGGACGGCCUUCGGGUUGUAAACGCGUUUCGCUAGGGACGAAGCGUUUUGUGACGGUACCUAGAUAAGAAGCACCGGCUAACUACGUG
Molecule: ribosomal RNA, 465 nt
Filed under: uncultured bacterium
Lineage: Bacteria
Description: partial 16S ribosomal RNA
Rfam family: Bacterial small subunit ribosomal RNA
Source: RNAcentral